GGCUGUGGUAACUCAGUGGUUAAGAUGUUGGACUACUAAUGGGAAGGUCUUGAGUUGAAAUCUCAGUGCUGCCA
Molecule: non-coding RNA, 74 nt
Organism: Ameiurus melas (black bullhead)
Lineage: Eukaryota; Metazoa; Chordata; Actinopteri; Siluriformes; Ictaluridae
Source: the annotation of a GenBank genome assembly